Molecule: microRNA precursor, 122 nt
Filed under: Cervus elaphus hippelaphus
Lineage: Eukaryota; Metazoa; Chordata; Mammalia; Artiodactyla; Cervidae
Rfam family: mir-124 microRNA precursor family (bases 34-106)
About the family: The mature ~21nt miRNAs are processed from hairpin precursor sequences represented here, in this case originating from the 3' arm. The bounds of the precursors are predicted based on conservation and base pairing and are not generally known.
Source: RNAcentral
CCUUCCUCCUCUCCUUCCUCAGGAGAAAGGCCUCUCUCUCCGUGUUCACAGCGGACCUUGAUUUAAAUGUCCAUACAAUUAAGGCACGCGGUGAAUGCCAAGAAUGGGGCUGGCUGAGCACC